Molecule: ribosomal RNA, 301 nt
Filed under: uncultured bacterium
Lineage: Bacteria
Description: partial 16S ribosomal RNA
Rfam family: Bacterial small subunit ribosomal RNA
Source: RNAcentral
CAGUAGCCGCGGGAAUACGAAGGGGGCUAGCGUUGCUCGGAAUGACUGGGCGUAAAGGGCGCGUAGGCGGCGGCCAAAGUCAGGCGUGAAAUUCCCGGGCUCAACCUGGGGGCUGCGUUUGAUACUUGGUUGCUUGAGUGGGGAAGAGGGUCGUGGAAUUCCCAGUGUAGAGGUGAAAUUCGUAGAUAUUGGGAAGAACACCGGUGGCGAAGGCGGCGACCUGGACCAUUUCUGACGCUGAUGCACGAGAGCUAGGGGAGCAAACAGGAUUAGAUACCCCGGUAGUCCCUGUCUCUUAUAC